UAGUGGCGAACGGGUGAGUAACACGUGGGCAAUCUGCCCUUCACUCUGGGACAAGCCCUGGAAACGGGGUCUAAUACCGGAUAAUACUCCUGCCUGCAUGGGCGGGGGUUGAAAGCUCCGGCGGUGAAGGAUGAGCCCGCGGCCUAUCAGCUUGUUGGUGGGGUAAUGGCCCACCAAGGCGACGACGGGUAGCCGGCCUGAGAGGGCGACCGGCCACACUGGGACUGAGACACGGCCCAGACUCCUACGGGAGGCAGCAGUGGGGAAUAUUGCACAAUGGGCGAAAGCCUGAUGCAGCGACGCCGCGUGAGGGAUGACGGCCUUCGGGUUGUAAACCUCUUUCAGCAGGGAAGAAGCGAAAGUGACGGUACCUGCAGAAGAAGCGCCGGCUAACUACGUGCCAGCAGCCGCGGUAAUACGUAGGGCGCAAGCGUUGUCCGGAAUUAUUGGGCGUAAAGAGCUCGUAGGCGGCUUGUCACGUCGGAUGUGAAAGCCCGAGGCUUAACCUCGGGUCUGCAUUCGAUACGA
RNAcentral lists this ribosomal RNA (528 nucleotides) under Streptomyces sp. 303B12. Its description in RNAcentral is "bacterial SSU rRNA". It matches the Rfam family "Bacterial small subunit ribosomal RNA", at positions 93 to 635 of the family's 1533-position model. The record is from RNAcentral. Lineage: Bacteria; Bacillati; Actinomycetota; Actinomycetes; Kitasatosporales; Streptomycetaceae.